GAUGAACGCUAGCUACAGGCUUAACACAUGCAAGUCGAGGGGUAACGAGAGGAAAGCUUGCUUUCCUUGUCGACGACCGGCGCACGGGUGAGUAACGCGUAUCCAACCUGCCCCCAACUAAGGAAUAACCUUGCGAAGGUAAGACUAAUACCUUAUACUUUCCUCAGAUGACAUCUGACGAGGAAUAAAGAUUUUUCGGUUUUGGAUGGGGAUGCGUCUGAUUAGCUUGUUGGCGGGGUAACGGCCCACCAAGGCAACGAUCAGUAGGGGUUCUGAGAGGAAGGUCCCCCACAUUGGAACUGAGACACGGUCCAAACUCCUACGGGAGGCAGCAGUGAGGAAUAUUGGUCAAUGGGCGGAAGCCUGAACCAGCCAAGUAGCGUGCAGGAUGACGGCCCUAUGGGUUGUAAACUGCUUUUAUACAGGAAUAAAGUUAGCCACGUGUGGUUAUUUGUAGGUACUGUAUGAAUAAGGACCGGCUAAUUCCGUGCCAGCAGCCGCAGUAA
Molecule: ribosomal RNA, 506 nt
Filed under: uncultured bacterium
Lineage: Bacteria
Description: partial 16S ribosomal RNA
Rfam family: Bacterial small subunit ribosomal RNA
Source: RNAcentral